ACACUGCUGAGGAGUCCCAUAAUAGGACGAAACGGCUGUCCAGUAC
Non-coding RNA from Schistosoma rodhaini, 46 nucleotides. NCBI's taxonomy places the organism in Eukaryota, Metazoa, Platyhelminthes, Trematoda, Strigeidida, Schistosomatidae. The record is from Rfam.